Eriocheir sinensis (Chinese mitten crab) is the source of this 1393-nucleotide RNA transcript. RefSeq lists it as uncharacterized. The transcript has 8 exons. The record is from RefSeq and is a predicted model, not a curated record. Lineage: Eukaryota; Metazoa; Arthropoda; Malacostraca; Decapoda; Varunidae.
CGCGCACUCUAGUCAAUGAAGUCUCUGUGUGGUGGUGUAAACAAAUCCUCGCUGCUGAGGUGUGUGAGUGUGUGUGGGCGUGGAAGUCGUAUGCAGUGGGCGUGUCUUGAGAGGCGAGGCGGAGGAAAGUGGCACGUCUUGCCUACGGUCUUGGGGACAGUCCAGCGGUGAAGCCGAGUGCGUCCCGAUGCAGCGUGGUGGCAGCCUCCUGCUGUGCGCCGGGCUGUAAGGGCAGGAACACUGUGGACUGCAAGCUCACCCUCCACAUGUGUCAGGUUCCUGCACAGGUGAACGGAGGUGGAGUCACGGCUUUGGGGCGGCUUGCUAAAAAGGUCAGAAGAGCCACAAUGGGCGCAGGUCACAACAGGUCACCACAUGCAGGUCGGAGGUCACACAGCCAGCGUCCACAACCUGACCCCUAAGAGUGGAUACCAGCUGUCUGGAGUGGAUACAGAAGUGGAUUCCUUACAGCAUCGGAACUCCCACCUGGCGGCCGUCAAGUUUUCCCUCCUGAGCUGCCGGUGUUGGUGGUGCCCAGGCUGGAACACUCCCCGCCCAGGGCUACGCCAACCUGAGGAGGCACAGCAAGACUUCUCCUGGCUUAUAAGAGGGACCAUUAAGAAACAUGAUCCCCGCUGCUGCCACCACCACCGGGUAACAUGUGCCGGCGACGAUCUGUUCACACGUCACUUGCCGCAGCGUUGAGGCGGGAUGCAGCGUGCUCUGAGGCCACCCCGGGCAGGAGGCAAGAUGUGACCUCCUGCACCAAACCUUUGACCUCUAUUCAGGAGCAAUCUCACAACUGAUGGAAGCUGGGACGGAAAGUUGCUGAAAUGUGGUAAGCUACAAUUUCCUCUUUCAACCAUGAUUUCUAUCAGUCUACCACAAUCUACCAGGGUCUAACCACCACACAAUCAUUCGCCCAACAUCCCUCUACCAGUCUACCACAAUUCAACCAUCAGUCAUCAACCGAAAAACUCGACUUGUUCAAAACUUUUUCAACUCUGUAACCCCAAAAUGUCAACCCAAGACCUGACAUUCAACCACGAUUUCUACCACUCCACCACAAUCUACUGGGACCUAACCACCAUAUAUCUUUUCAGGGCAAUGGCUGACUGGAUGGUGCUGUCUGGUCACUCAGCUCAGCAAGGGACUGGAAGCUGGAACACUCUCUCUCUCUCUCAAAAAAAUAAUGUAAAGGACUCGUCUCAGCUGGUCUCAUCUGGUCUGCCCCAGCAUUUAGGCAGCAUCUUGAAGGCCUGACUGGUCUCCUCAGCUCAGUGGUCUCGUCUCUGUCUCCUGCCCUGCAAGAGUCUGGCAGAGUUUAGUGCCAAGAGUGUGUGUGUGUGUGUGUGUGUGUGUGUGUGUGUGUGUGUGUGUGUGUGUGUGUGUG